UACGAAGGGGGCUAGCGUUGUUCGGAAUUACUGGGCGUAAAGCGCGCGCAGGCGGCUAUCCAAGUCAGUGGUGAAAGCCCGGAGCUCAACUCCGGAACUGCCAUUGAAACUGUUUAGCUUGAGUAUGAGAGAGGUGAGUGGAAUUCCCAGUGUAGCGGUGAAAUGCUUAGAUAUUGUCAAGAACACCUAUUGCGAAGGCAGCUUACUAGACUGUAACUGACGCUGAUGCACGAAAGUGUGGGGAUCAAACAGG
RNAcentral lists this ribosomal RNA (253 nucleotides) under uncultured bacterium. RNAcentral's name for it is "partial 16S ribosomal RNA". It matches the Rfam family "Bacterial small subunit ribosomal RNA", at positions 524 to 776 of the family's 1533-position model. The record is from RNAcentral.